UACGUAGGAUGCAAGCGUUGUCCGGAAUUAUUGGGCGUAAAGAGCGCGCAGGCGGUAUGACAAGUCAGAUGUGAAAGAGGCCGGCUUAACCGGCAAGGGUCAUUUGAAACUGUCAGACUAGAGUGCAGCAGAGGAUAGUGGAAUUCCCGGUGUAGUGGUGAAAUGCGUAGAUAUCAGGAGGAACACCAAUAGCGAAGGCAGCUCGCUGGGACGUUACUGACACUGAGGCGCGAAAGCGUGGGGAGCGAACAGG
This 253-nucleotide ribosomal RNA is filed under the name uncultured bacterium. RNAcentral's name for it is "partial 16S ribosomal RNA". It matches the Rfam family "Bacterial small subunit ribosomal RNA", at positions 524 to 776 of the family's 1533-position model. The record is from RNAcentral.